Molecule: small RNA, 698 nt
Filed under: Arabidopsis thaliana (thale cress)
Lineage: Eukaryota; Viridiplantae; Streptophyta; Magnoliopsida; Brassicales; Brassicaceae
Description: ATSL226750
Source: RNAcentral
AGAAGUUUUGGAUAUGUAAACAUUAACGAUCAACUGGUACUCAAAACUUCAGAAUUUGACAUAUCUAAUGCAUGGUAAUUGGAAAAAAAAAAAUACCGUAAAAGACGCUAUUAUACAUUACAAAAAAUAUAAAUACUGUGUACACUUAAACAGUUAUUUACUUUCAUCUAUCUGUAAAUAAAUAAGUCAAAUUUUUGAUAUUUAGGGGGUGUAAUUGGUUCCUAAUUUAUAAGGAAUUUUGAUGACUUCAAUCAAAUACUAGAAAGUAAAAAAAUGAAAGAUUUUAAACGAUUGUUAGAGACUUUUUUAUAAUCUUGUUGAUUAGUUUUUCAUAAUUUUGUAAAGUUUUUCAAACAAUCUCUCUAUUUUGAUAAUACUUUUCAAUGAUUUUUCAUGACUUCAUUUUAAGAAGAAAAAUGUAGAAAGUCAUGAACCAAUAACAUAAUAAUUUAAAUUAUUAACAAUCAAAGAUUCUUUUGUUUUAAUUGAAUAACACAAAACUUUUAAUGACUUUAUAAGUGUAUAAAUCUAAUAACCCAAAAUUUAUGAAGAUUUUAAAUUAUUUUUUACAAAUCUUAAAUGAAUAACACAAAAUUUUAACAUACUUUUAAAAAGUCUUGAUUAAAUAACAACAAAUUUUACAUAACAGUUUAAAUCACUUAAAUUCUUUUGAAAUCAUAAACGAAUAACACCCCUUU